CUACAGGCUUAACACAUGCAAGUCGCGGGGUAACAUCUGGUAGAGCUUGCUCGUUCCAGGAUGACGACCGGCGCACGGGUGAGUAACGCGUAUCCAACCUGGCCCAUACCACGGGAUAGCCCGUCGAAAGGCGGAUUAAUACCGUAUGCUGUCAUUAAGAGGCAUUUUUUGAUGACGAAAGGAUUGGCGGUAUGGGAUGGGGAUGCGUCUGAUUAGCUUGUUGGCGGGUAACGGCCCACCAAGGCGACGAUCAGUAGGGGUUCUGAGAGGAAGGUCCCCCACAUUGGAACUGAGACACGGUCCAAACUCCUACGGGAGGCAGCAGUGAGGAAUAUUGGUCAAUGGGCGAGAGCCUGAACCAGCCAAGUAGCGUGCAGGAAGACGGCCCUAUGGGUUGUAAACUGCUUUUAUAGGGGAAUAAAGUGAGCCACGUGUGGUUUUUUGCAUGUACCCUAUGAAUAAGGACCGGCUAAUUCCGUG
RNAcentral lists this ribosomal RNA (480 nucleotides) under uncultured bacterium. RNAcentral describes it as "bacterial SSU rRNA". It matches the Rfam family "Bacterial small subunit ribosomal RNA", at positions 40 to 507 of the family's 1533-position model. The record is from RNAcentral.